UACGGGGGGAGCAAGCGUUGUUCGGAUUUACUGGGCGUAAAGGGCGCGUAGGCGGCCAGCACAAGUCAGUUGUGAAAUCUCGAGGCUCAACCUCGAGAUGUCGGUGGAAACUGCCUGGCUAGAGUCCGGAAGAGGAGUGUGGAAUUCCUGGUGUAGCGGUGAAAUGCGCAGAUAUCAGGAAGAACACCUAUGGCGAAGGCAGCACUCUGGGACGGUACUGACGCUGAGACGCGAAAGCGUGGGGAGCGAACAGG
This 254-nucleotide ribosomal RNA is filed under the name uncultured bacterium. RNAcentral's name for it is "partial 16S ribosomal RNA". It matches the Rfam family "Bacterial small subunit ribosomal RNA", at positions 524 to 776 of the family's 1533-position model. The record is from RNAcentral.